Molecule: ribosomal RNA, 773 nt
Filed under: uncultured Neocallimastigales
Lineage: Eukaryota; Fungi; Neocallimastigomycota; Neocallimastigomycetes; Neocallimastigales
Description: partial large subunit ribosomal RNA
Rfam family: Eukaryotic large subunit ribosomal RNA
Source: RNAcentral
AGAGAGAGACAUGCGCGCAUAUCAAUAAGCGGAGGAAAAGAAACUAACAAGGAUUCCCUUAGUAACGGCGAGUGAAGCGGGAAGAGCUCAAAUUUGAAAUCUUCAAGGUUCUACCUUGACGAAUUGUAGUUUAUAGAAGUGUUUUCUGUUAGUGGAGUGGCAAAAGUUCUUUGGAAUAGGACAUCAUAGAGGGUGAGAAUCCCGUAUUUGGUCAUUCCUCCUAGCGUUGUGAUACACUUUCAACGAGUCGGAUUGUUUGGGAAUGCAGUCCAAGAUGGGUGGUAAAUUUCAUCUAAAGCUAAAUAUUGGCGAGAGACCGAUAGCGAACAAGUACCGUGAGGGAAGAUGAAAAGAACUUUGAAAAGAGAGUUAAACAGUACGUGAAAUUGUCAAAAGGGAAGCGUUUGACACCAGUGUUGUUUUUCGAAAAUCAAUUACGAAUGUUUUGUUUUUGAGGAGUUAUGACUUCAUCGGCUUGCUCCUUUCUUUAUGAAACUUUCUUAAUGCACUUUUCGGUUAACAAGUCAACAUCAAUUUCUUUUGUUGUAAAAGGGUAUGAGGAAGGUGGCUUUCUUUUCGGAGAAAGUGUUUAUAGCCUUGUGCCUCUGCAAUCGGAGAGAUUGAGGUCUGCAGCGUAGAUCCUUCGGGGUUAGAUACAUUUGUGCUAAGUUAUAGCUUUUCAUAGACAACUCGUUGACUAUGUUUAGUCUCGUAGCUUACUCGCUUACUGCUAUUUUACCUACGCUUAGGAUGUUGAUAGUCACAGCGUGUAC